RNAcentral lists this long non-coding RNA (230 nucleotides) under Mytilus galloprovincialis (Mediterranean mussel). Lineage: Eukaryota; Metazoa; Mollusca; Bivalvia; Mytilida; Mytilidae. The record is from RNAcentral.
GAAAAACGGAAUGGAAUAAAAGAUUGAUUACUUGUUAAUAUAUUUCAAUCAUUAAACAGUAGAUAUUUGAAACAUUAAAAGCAAUAAAAAUCAUGUUUGCUAACAUUACAAACGGACUGUCAAAAAAUGAUGGGUACCAGUAAUGACGCACUGUAAACAAACCAGUAAAAAACACUUGCUCGUACCUGAUAAUCGAAAAAUUGCUUCAAUCUGGAUUCUUUAAAAAUAAC